RNAcentral lists this ribosomal RNA (440 nucleotides) under Anaplasma marginale. RNAcentral describes it as "bacterial SSU rRNA". It matches the Rfam family "Bacterial small subunit ribosomal RNA", at positions 14 to 482 of the family's 1533-position model. The record is from RNAcentral. Lineage: Bacteria; Pseudomonadati; Pseudomonadota; Alphaproteobacteria; Rickettsiales; Anaplasmataceae.
GGAUCCUGGUUCAGAACGAACGCUGGCGGCAAGCUUAACACAUGCAAGUCGAACGGACCAUACGCGCAGCUUGCUGCGUGUAUGGUUAGUGGCAGACGGGUGAGUAAUGCAUAGGAAUCUACCUAGUAGUAUAGGAUAGCCACUAGAAAUGGUGGGUAAUACUGUAUAAUCCCUGCGGGGGAAAGAUUUAUCGCUAUUAGAUGAGCCUAUGUCAGAUUAGCUAGUUGGUGGGGUAAUGGCCUACCAAGGCGGUGAUCUGUAGCUGGUCUGAGAGGAUGAUCAGCCACACUGGAACUGAGACACGGUCCAGACUCCUACGGGAGGCAGCAGUGGGGAAUAUUGGACAAUGGGCGCAAGCCUGAUCCAGCUAUGCCGCGUGAGUGAGGAAGGCCUUAGGGUUGUAAAACUCUUUCAGUAGGGAAGAUAAUGACGGUACCUAC